UACGGAGGGUGCGAGCGUUGUCCGGAAUCACUGGGCGUAAAGGGCGCGUAGGCGGCCUGAUAAGUAGGGGGUAAAAUCCUGUGGCUUAACCGCAGGGCUGCCUUCUAAACUGUCGGGCUAGAGCACAGUAGAGGCAGGUGGAAUUCCCGGUGUAGUGGUGAAAUACGUAGAGAUUGGGAAGAACACCAGUGGCGAAGGCGGCUAUCUGGACGGUUUCUGACGCUAAGACGCGAAAGCGUGGGGAGCAAACAGG
RNAcentral lists this ribosomal RNA (253 nucleotides) under uncultured bacterium. Its description in RNAcentral is "partial 16S ribosomal RNA". It matches the Rfam family "Bacterial small subunit ribosomal RNA", at positions 524 to 776 of the family's 1533-position model. The record is from RNAcentral.